GCUAGCGGCGUGCCUAAUGCAUGCAAGUCGAACGGGAUCCUUUGGAAUUAUUCUAAAGGUGAGAGUGGCGAACGGGUGAGUAACACGUUGGUGACCUGCCCCAGAGAGGGGGAUAACCAUUGGAAACGAUGGCUAAUACCCCAAAUGUCAUUACUGUUAGAGGGUAAUGACCAAAGCUCCGGCGCUCUGGGAGGGGCCUGCGGCCCAUCAGCUAGUUGGCAGGGUAAUGGCCUACCAAGGCGAAGACGGUUAGGGGACGUGAGAGCGUGACCCCCCACACUGGUACUGAAACACGGACCAGAUACCUACGGGUAGCAGCAGCAAGGAAUAUUGCCCAAUGGACGAAAGUCUGAGGCAGCAACGCCGCGUGGAGGAUGAAGGCCUUCGGGUCGUAAACUCCUUUUCUGGGGGAAGAGAAAGGACGGUACCCCAGGAAUAAGUCUCGGCUAACUACGUGCCAGCAGCCGCGGUAAAACGUAGGAGGCGAGCGUUAUCCGGAUUUACUGGGCGUAAAGCGCGUGUAGGCGGUUUUCUAAGUCGGACGUGAAAGCUCCCGGCUCAACUGGGAGAGGUCGUUCGAAACUAGGAGACUUGAGGAUGGUAGAGGAGAGUGGAAUUCCCGGUGUAGUGGUGAAAUGCGUAGAUAUCGGGAGGAACACCAGUGGCGAAGGCGGCUCUCUGGGCCAUAUCUGACGCUAAGACGCGAAAGCUAGGGGAGAGAACGGGAUUAGAAACCCCGGUAUUCCUAGCCGUAAACGAUGUCAACUAGGUGUAGGGGGUAUCCAACCCCCCUGUGCUGCAGCAAACGCGAUAAGUUGACCGCCUGGGGACUACGGCCGCAAGGCUAAAACUCAAAGGAAUUGACGGG
RNAcentral lists this ribosomal RNA (868 nucleotides) under uncultured bacterium. RNAcentral's name for it is "bacterial SSU rRNA". It matches the Rfam family "Bacterial small subunit ribosomal RNA", at positions 35 to 917 of the family's 1533-position model. The record is from RNAcentral.